Podarcis raffonei (Aeolian wall lizard) is the source of this 634-nucleotide long non-coding RNA. RefSeq lists it as uncharacterized. Lineage: Eukaryota; Metazoa; Chordata; Lepidosauria; Squamata; Lacertidae. The transcript is spliced from 3 exons. The record is from RefSeq and is a predicted model, not a curated record.
UGUUUUGCAAAAGGAGCAUUGACCCCUGAGACACUUUCUUGGAAAUUGGAUUGCAAAUGGAGAACGCAAUGUGAAGUGGCCCCUUUGAUCUUAGCUUGCCAAGGGACAGCGACCUUUACAUUCUCCUCAUAGUUUCUUGUGCAAUGCGGGAACUUUUGCCAGCACCACCUUUCCUCAUUGUCUCCUCUCUGGUCUGGCUGGGGCUCCUGCUGCAUUGGGGGAUUAUAAAAACCACCUGGCUGGAGGCUGGAGGGCACAGUGACCUGCCUAGCCAUGAGGCCUGGUGCUCUCAUCUUCCUCCUCGUGGGGCUCCUCUCUCUCUGUGCCGUGGUGCCCUCUGCCUCUGGCCAAGGGAAGCCAGGAUACUGCCCCCCACGAGAAGGCUUUGGACUAUGUGUGGAGGAAUGUUCUGGAGAUGAUUCAUGUCCUGGAAAGAAGAAGUGCUGCAGCAACAACUGUGGCCACACUUGCCAAACUCCACUAAAAGAAAGACCUGGAAGCUGCCCUUUCUUUCCUGCAGUAGUGAGGCCACCUUGCAUAAAGGAAUGCCGUAAAGAUGAUGAUUGUCCUUUCCCCCAGAAAUGCUGUUCAAUCAUGUGCUCCAGGGUCUGCAUAAAUCCAGGUAAGAGGCUGA